Molecule: ribosomal RNA, 252 nt
Filed under: uncultured bacterium
Lineage: Bacteria
Description: partial 16S ribosomal RNA
Rfam family: Bacterial small subunit ribosomal RNA
Source: RNAcentral
ACGGAGGGUGCAAGCGUUGUCCGGAUUUAUUGGGUUUAAAGGGUGCGUAGGCGGGUUAUUAAGUCAGUGGUGAAAGCCCACAGCUCAACUGUGGAACUGCCAUUGAUACUGGUAAUCUUGAAUUCAGUUAAGGUAGGCGGAAUUGAUGGUGUAGCGGUGAAAUGCAUAGAUACCAUCAAGAACACCGAUUGCGAAGGCAGCUUACUGGGCUUGAAUUGACGCUGAGGCACGAAAGCGUGGGGAGCGAACAGG